Long non-coding RNA from Gambusia affinis (western mosquitofish), 2267 nucleotides. RefSeq lists it as uncharacterized. NCBI's taxonomy places the organism in Eukaryota, Metazoa, Chordata, Actinopteri, Cyprinodontiformes, Poeciliidae. The transcript is spliced from 4 exons. The record is from RefSeq and is a predicted model, not a curated record.
CCCAGGGGGGUCAGAAAGGGUUAACGUGUUUCCUCCCAGAACGAGGACGAGUCUCUGCUCCCUGACGAAGCGGCUCUGGCCCGGAGCGAAGCGCCUCAUUCAUGUUUCUGCUCUUUUGAGGUGGAAAAGGUGAUCAGAAGACAGGAUUAGCAGGCAGAUAAAUGGAUGCUCGUGACGUUUCUCACCCGAACAACAGCCGUGCUAGAGGGGGAGACGAAGCAUGAGGCCUCGCCUGUGUGCCGUUGCCUUCUUUUGACGCCACAGUUCGGGAUGAAUAGGAACCAGCACCAGUUCAGAUAUCAUUAUGUUUAGCCCCGAAGGUAGAACAACCGAGUUAGAGCUCUGCUUUGCUCCUCAAGAUGUACAUGACAGUUGAGAACUGGCGGCUGAGACGAGACAUGAAAGUGCGACUGCCGCGGAGUGACAGGACGGCAACCGCGAAGUGACCACAAACACAACAGCCAUAGCAGAAAAGGAUGAUAAAUUACCACCAUGGAUUUCAACAGAAAAACACGAUCCAGCCGUAUGUAUGGAGCUCAUUGGACGCCCGAGGGCAAAAUAAAAAUGGAGGUUGUUAAAAAACAUUCCCACAGCUUAAUAAACCAUGCAUGCUUAUUUGCUCUGAGCCAUAAUUCUGUUGGAGAACGAGCAAUAGAUCAUUACCGGGGUUCAGUGAAGUUGAAAACUUGGACAAAUUCUUGCUUCCAGGCUCUAUAAAUUAGAUGGAAAAAAGACAACCGAACUACUGUGAAACCUCCAACGUCACCUUCUCUCCACAGUAGAAAAGGUGACUGCAUUGUGUCUCUGUCAGGUUGUUGCAACAUCAAUCAGAGUCAGUAUUGGAUUACUUCCUAGGAAAUUUUAACAAAUCAGGAGAAGGAUGAAACAAAAGUAAUAAAAAACCUGAAUGGUGAGGCGACAUUGACAGUAAUUUAUUAGUAGUAGCAGUUUAUUACUAAAAGCAGAGGUUUUACUAGCAGUAUUGCUAUAUUGUUAUUAUUUUACUUUAAUAAACUUAUACUAAGCGUAUAAGUUUAUUAAAGUAAAAUAAUUAGCUUUGAGCUUUGCACUGUCUUCCAAAGACAUUAAAGACGGAGACACAGAGGCCCAUUUUCCACAUGGCAAUGAUCACUUUCUGCACUAAAAAUAAUUUUAAAAAAGCAUUUUAAAUCUUUUUCUUCUUUUUUUAUACAUGUCUCACUCUUUUCUGACUGUCUUAAACAGAUAGGCUGAAUAAACUCAAGACCGAAAAGGUCAAAGGAAACAUGAGCUGCGAUUGUUUCACCUGCUUUGCCGCCUUCUUUGGAAUUUGGAUGUUGCUACUUUUGACAAUCUGCCAUCUCCUGGUGCAGGCUGGGUAUUGCAGUGUUGCAAAUUGGCAGCUUGGAGACUGUGUAUGCUAAGAGAUAAAAAAAAAACAAAAAAAACAAAGGGAAACAAAAAGGGAGAUUUCAACAAAGUUUUGUGUGUGAGUAGCUGGGAUCUUGAUGUUGACCAAUAGGAGAGAAUCUGACUCUCCACCAGGCUCCCCAUCCCUCCCUUUCACCUUUUUACACCUCAAGUCUUGCAGAGUCUAAAGGAGAAAAAAAGAAAAUGGAGAUUUAAAAAAAAGAUAUCUGUAAAUAAACAAGCAAAGGAGAAAUUAGAGGUGAGAAAAUCAAUGUACGAUAAAAGUGUAAAAACAACAAACAAAAAAACAAGUAUUAAAUACCAAAUCUGAAAAAAUUAAUUAAAAUGAUAAGUCUGGAACAGAAAAAAAUACAUUAUUAAUAUAUUAUUAUUUUGUUUGUAUUGUAUUUAUUUCUCUCUAGUUAGAAAUGUGGCAGGAUCAGUCCUCCAUACACAUUCCUUCCUGUCAUGAAUGAAACUUUCUGUUCUGUUUUUGCAGCAUGUAGCUUUUACAAAAAUAUGCUGCCGCUUCAACAUAAACUACUUCUAUUUACAAAAUUAUUGUAAAUUGCACAGUGAAGAGUAAUUAUUAUACUGAUCUCGGUCACAUUAUGCUCCAUUCCUCCAAAUAAAACAACAAUUUUAGGAUGCAUGUUUUAAUGCUGCUAAAAAUCUUUACACUCAGAAAGAGGGUGACUUGAUUUCAUCUUAUAUUUUGUGUAGGUUUGUGCAUCUAUACAAUUAUUUAUGGUUUGGCAUGUCACUUCCAUCCAUUGUUUGUGGGGGGAGUGUGACCCAUGAAAUCUGAACUCAAACGGCAGCUGUGAUUUUACGCUUUAGCCUCCAAGAAGAAAUAAAGAUGUCAUUCUUUCAUUCAU